ACUCCCAUGGCGUAGUGGUCACUGCGCUCGCCUUGCACGCGGGAGACCCGGGUUCGAUUCCCGGCGGGAUAA
Molecule: transfer RNA, 72 nt
Filed under: Diaphorina citri (Asian citrus psyllid)
Lineage: Eukaryota; Metazoa; Arthropoda; Insecta; Hemiptera; Psyllidae
Rfam family: tRNA
About the family: Transfer RNA (tRNA) molecules are approximately 80 nucleotides in length.
Source: Rfam by way of RNAcentral